Molecule: long non-coding RNA, 150 nt
Organism: Pyrgilauda ruficollis (rufous-necked snowfinch)
Lineage: Eukaryota; Metazoa; Chordata; Aves; Passeriformes; Passeridae
Exons: 4
Source: RefSeq, a predicted model, not a curated record
GAAGCGGCGGCGGCGCCGGGCGGACGCGGCGGCGAUGGAGCCGGGAUACGGCGGCUAUGGCUCCUGGAGCACCGGGGCCACCGGCACCCAGGGUUCCUAUGGCACCAACACGACCAGCUGGCAAGGCUACGAAGGCUACGAGUUCUACAC